This 828-nucleotide ribosomal RNA is filed under the name Staphylococcus sp. RNAcentral's name for it is "bacterial SSU rRNA". It matches the Rfam family "Bacterial small subunit ribosomal RNA", at positions 51 to 860 of the family's 1533-position model. The record is from RNAcentral. Lineage: Bacteria; Bacillati; Bacillota; Bacilli; Caryophanales; Staphylococcaceae.
AUACAUGCACGUCGAGCGAACAGAUAAGGAGCUUGCUCCUUUGACGUUAGCGGCGGACGGGUGAGUAACACGUGGGUAACCUACCUAUAAGACUGGAAUAACUCCGGGAAACCGGGGCUAAUGCCGGAUAACAUUUAGAACCGCAUGGUUCUAAAGUGAAAGAUGGUUUUGCUAUCACUUAUAGAUGGACCCGCGCCGUAUUAGCUAGUUGGUAAGGUAAUGGCUUACCAAGGCAACGAUACGUAGCCGACCUGAGAGGGUGAUCGGCCACACUGGAACUGAGACACGGUCCAGACUCCUACGGGAGGCAGCAGUAGGGAAUCUUCCGCAAUGGGCGAAAGCCUGACGGAGCAACGCCGCGUGAGUGAUGAAGGGUUUCGGCUCGUAAAACUCUGUUAUUAGGGAAGAACAAACGUGUAAGUAACUGUGCACGUCUUGACGGUACCUAAUCAGAAAGCCACGGCUAACUACGUGCCAGCAGCCGCGGUAAUACGUAGGUGGCAAGCGUUAUCCGGAAUUAUUGGGCGUAAAGCGCGCGUAGGCGGUUUCUUAAGUCUGAUGUGAAAGCCCACGGCUCAACCGUGGAGGGUCAUUGGAAACUGGGAGACUUGAGUGCAGAAGAGGAAAGUGGAAUUCCAUGUGUAGCGGUGAAAUGCGCAGAGAUAUGGAGGAACACCAGUGGCGAAGGCGACUUUCUGGUCUGUAACUGACGCUGAUGUGCGAAAGCGUGGGGAUCAAACAGGAUUAGAUACCCUGGUAGUCCACGCCGUAAACGAUGAGUGCUAAGUGUUAGGGGGUUUCCGCCCCUUAGUGCUGCAGCUAACGCAU